This 377-nucleotide ribosomal RNA is filed under the name uncultured eukaryote. RNAcentral's name for it is "partial 18S ribosomal RNA". It matches the Rfam family "Eukaryotic small subunit ribosomal RNA", at positions 592 to 976 of the family's 1831-position model. The record is from RNAcentral.
CAAUAGCGUAUAUUUAAGUUGCUGCAGUUAAAAAGCUCGUAGUUGGAUUUCGGGUGGGAAUGGCCGGUCCGCCGUUUCGGUGUGCACUUGCUACGCCCACCUUGCUGCCGGGGACGUGCUCUUGAGUUCACGCUCGAGACACGGAGUCGGCGAGGUUACUUUGAGUAAAUUAGAGUGUUCAAAGCAGGCCUACGCUCUGAAUACAUUAGCAUGGAAUAACACGAUAGGACUCUGGCCUAUCUUGUUGGUCUGUAGGACCGGAGUAAUGAUUAAGAGGGACAGUCGGGGGCAUUCGUAUUUCAUUGUCAGAGGUGAAAUUCUUGGAUUUAUGAAAGACGAACUACUGCGAAAGCAUUUGCCAAGGAUGUUUUCAUUAA